AUAGUAUGUGAAUUGCAGAAUUCAGUGAAUCAUCGAAUCUUUGAACGCACCUUGCGCCCCUUGGUAUUCCGAGGGGCACGCCUGUUCGAGUGUCGUGA
This 98-nucleotide ribosomal RNA is filed under the name Hericium cirrhatum. RNAcentral describes it as "Creolophus cirrhatus partial 5.8S ribosomal RNA". It matches the Rfam family "5.8S ribosomal RNA", at positions 58 to 154 of the family's 154-position model. Rfam says of the family: 5.8S ribosomal RNA (5.8S rRNA) is a component of the large subunit of the eukaryotic ribosome. It is transcribed by RNA polymerase I as part of the 45S precursor that also contains 18S and 28S rRNA. The record is from RNAcentral. Lineage: Eukaryota; Fungi; Basidiomycota; Agaricomycetes; Russulales; Hericiaceae.